UUGAAAUAUAGUAAAUAUUUACUUUGUAAUAUAAUUAUUUUAGGUUAGUUUAACAACAAUCUGAAAGUUAUAUCAUUACUUCAUGAUUUUAAUGAUACAUUUUAUAAGAAAUUUUAAAUGAUUUAUAUUCUUACUUGAUUUUUCACGUUUAUAAGUAAAUGUGUCGUACAAAAAGAAAUUAGAUAUUGAAAAACGACACAGGUCGUCAAUAAUUCGAUAAACUUCAUCAUUAUGGCAUUGUCAAUGUUUUUAAUCAUAAGACCAUAGUCUAUUUACUCGAUAUCACUUUUGUUAUAACGCGAGAUCAUUUAAACGGACGACAAUUAAAUCAUUAAAAAUUAACCUAAAUCAUACGUUUUACCGACCGUUCACAUUUGUAUUCAUUCACUGAUUACGAUUCUUACCGUAUAGAUAUAUAUAUAUACAAUUGACUAUAAUAUAUUCAGAUUUAACACACACUAUAUGUAUAAAAUGUGAUGGCAGCACCAUCGGGAGAUCGCCAUCUUGCGGAUGAAAGUUGUACUAACGAUAUUAUGAUUUACUAUGUUAAAUGUAAGCAUGCAGAUUGUUUCGCGUCAAUAAAGAAGAGCUAUUUUAUCACUUCAGAACGACUUUAGUAUUAGGUUCAAUAUUUUGAUGUUAGAAAUAAAUAACAAAUAAAUAACUCUUUUCGAUAAAAGAAAAAUAACAAUAAUGAGCCGAUACAUUGAAAUUUUACAAACUCAACGCUGAUGCCAUUGGAUGAUCAAUGUUUUCCUUUAAUUCUAUUGCUAGGAACAUAACCUAUAAAACAAUUGACUUGAAUAAAAUUCUACGAUGGAAAUUCGGUAUUUUCAUUAUGUCAUUAGUUCUGGGACGUUAUUAUAAAUGAUCAGUACAACGACAAAUAAAAAUAAAUCAAUUGAUGAUGGCUUAAUUACUUACUUUAAAUGAUUGAUAAAUAAUUGAAGAAGAAAUAUCAACGUUCAGUCAUAUAUACAAUUAUUUUAACAAAGUAAAAUUGAAAAAAGAAGAAGAAGAAGAAAAAAAAAAGAAAAGAAGUUAGUAAUUGGGAAGAAAGGAUUGUAUAAUCUUUUUAAUUAUUACAUAUUCAUUUCAAUAACGUUAAUAUAGACUUAAUAUAGAAGCAAAAUAUAAUUGAUAUUUAAAUGAAUAAUUCUAUAAGUUGUGCUUAAUUAUUAUAAUGUUAUUAACUCUGAUCCAUUUCAUAUGAAGUAAUUUAUUUAAUUUUAUUUUAUAUAUAAGUACUCUGUUGUUAAAUGAAAAUUUUCAAGUUUUCAACGUCAUUGCAAAUAUUAUGAGAUAAAACAAGAUAGUCAAUGAA
Long non-coding RNA from Vespa velutina, 1324 nucleotides. RefSeq lists it as uncharacterized. Lineage: Eukaryota; Metazoa; Arthropoda; Insecta; Hymenoptera; Vespidae. The transcript is spliced from 2 exons. The record is from RefSeq and is a predicted model, not a curated record.